ACUUAUCUUUUAUAUAUUAACUACAUCUCCAAGUUAAAUCCUACCUCCCCUUGCCCUUCCUCUUCUUCUUCCUCGGAUCGCUCCACGCGUUGCUUCAGGCACACAAGCUAUUAGUGAGGAGGAACAAUACAAUGAAGGUUUGUCUCGGUGAUCUAUGACUGGGCAUCUUUCGAUAACACCACCUGACGCCAUAGGAUAUUUUGUCGACGGACAAUGAUCAUAGUCCAAUCCUCACCAAUUCACUCCAUAUACGUCAUGAAAUUGAAGAGAUACACUGACCGGCUGUUGGGUAAAUGAACCUUAGAAUUAGAUUUGGAAAAUAGGAUUUGAUAAUCAAUUACACUAAGCUUAAGUAAUUAAGCAUUUUGCUUAAUCACUUAAGUGUCAUUUGAUGUGAGGCUAGUUGAAUCGCGUAGGCAAAGCGCUUAAGGUUUUUUUGUGAGAAAAUAAAAAGAGUCGUAAUCGAUUAAGGCAUGCUUAGUCGAUUACAGUAAUCGUUAAACAAGUUUUCAUGAGUGAAUAGAAAACUUUAUAAUAGAUUAAGCUAGUUGAUUAGGAAAACUUGAUUGAUUAAAGUAAUCGAUUAAGCUUGAAAAACUAGCCGUUAUGGAGUCAAUAAAAGGGUUUUUCUCGACACUGUUUUAAGAAUUACUCUCCCACUCUCUUCACCAAGCUCACAGAUCUUCACAUCAAUUCUUGGAGACUUAGAGAAAAGUAUUGUUGCACUUCCAAGUUGAUCAUGACUAAGUAGUAAGAAGCUAAAGUUUCAUUUAUUGUAAAUCUUGUAAGAUUUCGUAUUGUAUUAGCUUCUUUUGUUUUUCUUCUUGUAUUUUUUAUUGAGAGCUUGUACAAGCUUUCUCCGCCUCCAAAGUGUUUCCGAGAAAGAGUUGUUUGAUAAUGGAAGUGUGAGAGAGGGUCGGAUCUUUGGAUUA
This is a long non-coding RNA of Zingiber officinale, 932 nucleotides long. RefSeq lists it as uncharacterized. The record is from RefSeq and is a predicted model, not a curated record. The transcript is spliced from 3 exons. Lineage: Eukaryota; Viridiplantae; Streptophyta; Magnoliopsida; Zingiberales; Zingiberaceae.